UAUGUAGGGUGGCUAGUGUCUAUUCGGGAAUUCAAUGGGCGCGAAAGCGCGGCGGUAGGCGGUUUCUUUAAGUUUGGAUGGAGAAACCGCCGCGGUUCAACUCUUGGAGGGUCCUUCGACACCUGGAAAAUUUAGUGCAGAAGAGGAGAGGUGAAACUUCCUUGGUGAACGGGGAAAUGCGCAGAGUUAUGGAGGCACACCCACUGGUGAAGGGGUUCUUCUUGUCUGUAACUGAACCUGAUGGGGAAAAACGGGGGGGUACAACAGGGUUAGAUUCACUGGUUGUCCACCGCGUAAACGAUGAGUGCUAAGUGUUAGGGAGUUUCCGCCCCUUAGUGGUGCAGCUAACGCAUUAAGCCCUCCGCCUGGGGAGUACGGCCGCAAGGUUAAAACUCAAAGGAAUUGACGGGGGCCCGCACAAGCGGUGGAGCAUGUGGUUUAAUUUGAAGCAACGCGAAGAACCUUACCAAAUCUUGACAUCCUGUGACCCCUCCAGAGAUAGAGUUUUCCCCUUCGGGGGACAGAGUCACAGGUGGUGCAUGGGUGUUCUCAGCUUGUGUUGUGAGAUGUUGGGUUAAGCCCCGCAACGAGCACACCCCUUCAUUUUAGUCCCCAUCAUUAAGUUGGGCACUUUAAGUUGACUGCCGGUGACAAACCGGAGGAAGGUGGGGAUGACGUCAAAUCAUCAUGCCCCUUAUGAUUUGGGCUACACACGUGCUACAAUGGUCAAUACAAAGGGUAGCCAAACCGCGAGGUCAAGCAAAUCCCAUAAAGUUGUUCUCAGUUCGGAUUGUAGUCUGCAACUCGACUACAUGAAGUUGGAAUCGCUAGUAAUCGUAGAUCAGCAUGCUACGGUGAAUACGUUCCCGGGUCUUGUACACCCCGCCCAGUGGGCCCCCAUGGAGAGUUGUGUUUACUACCCCCCGGA
This 928-nucleotide ribosomal RNA is filed under the name Staphylococcus capitis. RNAcentral's name for it is "bacterial SSU rRNA". It matches the Rfam family "Bacterial small subunit ribosomal RNA", at positions 524 to 1447 of the family's 1533-position model. Lineage: Bacteria; Bacillati; Bacillota; Bacilli; Caryophanales; Staphylococcaceae. The record is from RNAcentral.